UGAGUAACCUGCCCUUAACUCUGGGAUAAGCCUGGGAAACUGGGUCUAAUACCGGAUAUGACUCCUCAUCGCAUGGGUGGGGGGUGGAAAGCUUUAUUGUGGUUUUGGAUGGACUCGCGGCCUAUCAGCUUGUUGGUGAGGUAAUGGCUCACCAAGGCGACGACGGGUAGCCGGCCUGAGAGGGUGACCCGGCCACACUGGGACUGAGACACGGCCCAGACCUCCGUACGGGAGCAG
RNAcentral lists this ribosomal RNA (237 nucleotides) under uncultured bacterium. Its description in RNAcentral is "partial 16S ribosomal RNA". It matches the Rfam family "Bacterial small subunit ribosomal RNA", at positions 118 to 347 of the family's 1533-position model. The record is from RNAcentral.